UUGAGGGCUAGAAAAUAUAGAAGCAAGAGGUAAAUAUUAAUAUUGAGAAAUAAGGGCCGUCCAACACAUGCAAGAACUUAAAUAUAUCUCUUGCAAAAAUUAAUAAUGGUGUGGUUGGAUUUGUUAGAAAUUAAGUGGUGCUUUAAUGGCUGCUGCUGAGCUUUCCCUGUAUAUAUAUAUAUGUAUAUAUAUACACACACACACACACACCGACUCCCCAGGCAAUGAAUGACGGCCUUCCCUGCAGUUUUGCGUAAUUGCAAUAUUUACUACAAAUUUCCCAUUCCUACCUUUCCUCUUCCAAUUUAACUCAUUCUCUCUCUCUCUCUCCAACCUCCACUUCUUACCAUAAUUUAAUUGAGCUUUAAAGCAAUCCCAUUGCAUUUCCCUCCUAUAUAUAUACACAUAUAUGAUGGUUUUAAGCCAACACCCUCAGCCACUUCAUGUUGCUGUUGCUGCUGCUACUGCUAAAAGAGGUGGCCACAACCAUCGCAUAGGAGCCGUCGUCGUCGUCGCCGCCGCUCCGACCACCUUCAGGCAUUGAAAGUUAAUUAAAAGAAAGAGAUGAGCCCAAGGAACGGAGCGAAGCUGGAGCUGAAGUUGAACUUGUCUCCACCGAGGGGGCGAGACUCCCCGAGGCGGUCGCCGACCAUGUCCCCGACGAGCUCGUGCGUCUCAUCGGAGGCGAACCAGCAGGACGAGCAGCUCCGGUACUCGACGAGCCCGGAGGCGACGUCGAUGAUGCUGGUGGGAUGCCCCCGGUGCCUCAUGUAUGUGAUGCUGGCGGGGGAGGAUCCCAGGUGCCCCAAAUGCAAGAGCUCUGUUCUGCUCGACAUCAUCCACAACACCGCAACAAAAUCCAACAACACCCAGAAUUCAAGGAAAUCUUAACGAUUCUCUGCUUUUGAGUUCACCUAUUUAAUAAGAUCCAAUUAGAAUGCAGUUAUUUCUAGAGGUAGUUAGCAAGUAGCACUAUUGGUGCUCCGCUUCUCGAUCACUAUGUACAAGGAGGAGUGGAGCCUUAAUAGUGCUACAUUUCUUUCUUUAGUUUUGAUCCAUUUCAAGUUUAAGGUCAUUAUCUGCCUUCUUCA
Salvia miltiorrhiza (redroot sage) is the source of this 1091-nucleotide long non-coding RNA. RefSeq lists it as uncharacterized. The record is from RefSeq and is a predicted model, not a curated record. The transcript has 2 exons. NCBI's taxonomy places the organism in Eukaryota, Viridiplantae, Streptophyta, Magnoliopsida, Lamiales, Lamiaceae.